AGAAUUUGAGAAUUAAUUGUGAAAUGAUUCAUGUACCAAAGUGACUGAAAAAGAGGUAUUACUGAGUCAAAUUCCGUAUUUGUCCUAUUGUACCACUCAAUUUUGUGCAUUAAUGAAUUACAGGUAUUUGUAUCACAGAGCCAAAGGACAGUAAAAGUCAAUAACCAUCACAUGGUUUGCGAGAAACACUAUUGGCUUAGUUCAAAUAUUAAUGUGAAUGUAACAGAUAAAAGUCAGGACUCAUUGCAGACUACAUCAGUGUAGACUUGUGGAGAUACAGGACAUCAUGAGGCUCCAAUGGAUGCUCCUGCUAGGAGCCUGCGCGGUGGUGAGGGCAGCAAACCCACCUGCUCUUUACCACCGUUUUGUCCAGAUCCACAUACAAACGAGAAUGGCAAUCCAGGACUGUUCUCGUGUCAUGCGAAGACUGCAGCUGAAUGAGCCUGGAACUCAGAACUGCAAAUAUACAAACACGUUCAUCGUUACUAACCCUAUCCUCCAACAAGUCGAGGCCGUCUGUAAUAAUGCUGGAACACGUGACUUUACAGCUGGCAAUAUAUUCACUAGCAAUCAACGAUUCUCUCUUGUCACUUGUAGGCUCUCUAGUGGCACUCAACACCCCAAUUGUGAAUAUAAUGGUACUCCAUCAAUAAGGAGAAUCAGAGUUUCUUGUGACCCUGAUGGGCAGAACCGUCGUAUACUCUGGCCAACACACUAUGCAGGUGAUGUUGUUUAGCAUAUUUUUGUCAGCUACAAUACUUUAAUCAGGUCUACUAUUUUUUUUUCCAAUAAGGUGGGAAUAUGCCGCUACACAAUUUGCCAUCAAAUGUUAUAGAAACUCGCCAGUUCAAUUUAAAAGGAUUGUGUUACAUAUGAUCCCUUUGUUAUUAGUGGCUUCCUUUUACAGUAAUACAAUGCCUGAUUUCUUGAUUUGCUCUCAGUUGUGACAAAUACAUCUGAAAAGCAGCGUGAUUUUAAUUGCAACUAAAUUGUGAAAAUGUAUUAAAUAAAUGGUACAGUGUGGGCAGACUGUUAAGAAGAAUUGUGUGUAUGGUGUUUGUCUAUAAAUUAGAGUUACAAUGACAUAAAUGUAUUGCAAUUUCUGUUAAAACUGGUUAACUGGCAAACUGUAUUUGAGUUAUUUGUUUACUGUUUGUUUGAGUGAUGCAACUAUUUGUUUCCCACUAAACUAAUGGGACAGUAAACAAAUCUCUAUUGAAAACAGUUUGCUCAGUAUUCUACCUUGGAAAACUGUUGACCUUUUGCCUUGAACUUGUACCAUAAGAUCAAAUAAAUCUCAAAUUCUCACAA
Long non-coding RNA from Hypomesus transpacificus, 1311 nucleotides. RefSeq lists it as uncharacterized. Lineage: Eukaryota; Metazoa; Chordata; Actinopteri; Osmeriformes; Osmeridae. The record is from RefSeq and is a predicted model, not a curated record. The transcript is spliced from 2 exons.